RNAcentral lists this ribosomal RNA (465 nucleotides) under uncultured bacterium. RNAcentral's name for it is "partial 16S ribosomal RNA". It matches the Rfam family "Bacterial small subunit ribosomal RNA", at positions 28 to 507 of the family's 1533-position model. The record is from RNAcentral.
GACGAACGCUGGCGGCGUGCUUAACACAUGCAAGUCGAACGGAAAGGCCCCUUUGGGGGUACUCGAGUGGCGAACGGGUGAGUAACACGUGAGUAACCUGCCCUUGACUUCGGGAUAACUUCAGGAAACUGGGGCUAAUACCGGAUAGGAAUCCUUGCUGCAUGGUGGGGGUUGGAAAGCUUCGGCGGUUUUGGAUGGACUCGCGGCUUAUCAGCUUGUUGGUGGGGUAGUGGCUUACCAAGGCUUUGACGGGUAGCCGGCCUGAGAGGGCGACCGGCCACAUUGGGACUGAGAUACGGCCCAGACUCCUACGGGAGGCAGCAGUGGGGAAUCUUGCACAAUGGGCGGAAGCCUGAUGCAGCAACGCCGCGUGCGGGAUGACGGCCUUCGGGUUGUAAACCGCUUUCAGCAGGGGCGAAGCUUGUGGUGACGGUACCUGCAGAAGAAGCACCGGCUAACUACGUG